AGUAAGGGGGAGUAGGCAGGUGUUAAAACAGAGCCAGAAGUGGGGCUAGAGGAAAGGUGACUACAAAGGUCUAGGAGAGGGAUUAGGAAAAAAGAGAGAGAGGGAAUUGUGGUGGGUGGUGGUUUUUUUGGGAUGUGCAGUUCAGUGUGGGGACUGCACAACACCUGACUAUAUUACAGUGGUCUCCAUUCAAGCCAGAAAAGGGGGUGAAGGUUUGCUCUUUCUCAAAGGCUGAGGAGAUGCCAAUACCUUUCAACAGGAUCCAUAACCUAAGGAGGCUUCAUGGAGGCACAGUUAAUCCAGCAGCACAGACUUGCCCUGGAAGCCAUUAUGCCCCUAGAUGGACCACAUCAUACUUUAUGUGCAAAACAGUGCAGAAAUGUGCCAAAAGAUCUGAAGCAACCUGGAAUUAAGAACUGUGCCGCGUCAUGCCUUCCAAUACCAGCACUUUACAAGCUUCUAGAGGGAGCAGUAGAUGGAACUCGAACCUGAUACCAGAGGAGCCCCCACAGAGCAUGUGCAAAGAAGUCUUUGAUGCCAUUCCACAGAAAGCUUGCCUGGCAGACCUCGGUCAACAGCCCUGCUACCCAGGGAGCCAAAUUCAAUGCAUAACCAUGGAUGAACUUUGAAAAAUUCAGCUGAAAUGAGGAUUGUGAUGUACUGGAGGAGGAGGAGGGAUCAUUUGCUUGAACCUUCAACCUACUGCCUCUGUAUUAAUCCCCAAGAUUGAUGCUGCAUACAUGGAAUCUGGGUUUGUUCUGAUAAAGAGGUUUGUAGGCUGCCUGCUCUCCCAAAUUCUGCCCUUUGAUAUGCUUGCAUAACUCCCAUAUGCUCCAAUUGCUGAAUCAGCUAGGCAAAUAUGGAGCCAGAUUUCUGCAGAACGCCCACCCAUGAAAACUAUUCUAUUUCAUGUGAUCCAGGGUUCCCUGAAAGGCCAAUAGACAUUGUACACACCCCAAAUCCUGUAUGAAACCACUCUGCUUUGGCCUGGAACAGCCAAUUGAGCAUGGGGAAGUCUGUAACCACGCCCUAUAGUGUGAAUUUUUAAAAUUUUUCCUAUAGGCCUAAUCCAAAGCCCACUGAAGUCAAUGGAAAGAUUCCCAUUGACUUUACUGGGCAUUAGAUCAGGCCCUAAAAUGAUGAAGGCUGAUCUCACUCCAGACCUCUUUCUAAUCUCAAUUAUUCUGAUUGAAUUUAAGAGACUCCACUGAUGUCAAUGGAGUUACAGCAGUUUUAAAAACACCGGAGGGAUCAGAAUCAGGCCCUCAAUUCUCUCUGAUGUUACUUUACAUUUUGCCUACCUUGCCUCGUGCUAUUGAGAAUAUAUUAUGAACCAAGAGGUGUACAGAUACUUGUGCUGUUUAUUUAAAGCUACAGCUAGAAGCAAUGCACCAGAGGCCGAGGAUGGCUCUAAGCAGAAGAUUUAGAGUGAAGCAGAGAGGGAGAGACAGUAGCUUUAGGGAUGAUACUGCUUUUCUUAUUCUAAUAAUGGUCCUUUAAGUGUUGGAAGAAGGUGGCUUUUUCUGUAUUACACUAAUAGGGAUGAUAAACAAGGGGUCGACAACCUUUGACAUGCGGCCCAUCUGGGUAAUCCGCUGGUGGGCUGUGAGACAUUUUGUUUACAUUGACCAUCCUCAGGCAUGCCCCUCCCCCCCCCACCCCCCCCGCAGCUCCAGGUGGCCGUGAUUCACUGUUCCCGGCCAAUGGGAGCUGCUGGAAGCGGUGCGGUCAGCAGGGACUUUAUAACAUUUCUUUUAAUAGCUGCCAAUCUCGAAGGGUAUUGGAAUGCUGCAACUGUUGUACAUGCAGUUAAAUAGGAUAUGGUUUGCAAUAUCAUUCAGAGAAAGUUGCACACAUAAUAUUCUAAAGAAAAUGGUGGAGUCAGUGAACAUUUUUAAUCUACUUGACGACUAUUAAUAGCACUUACACAAAGGACAAGAGGCUGAUCAAAGGAUAGGACACAAAAUUCACAAUAGAAAUAACAUUUCAACCAAUCUAUAUAACCUUCCUAUACAAAGAAAUUAAAACAACUAGAGAUUAUUAUUUAUAGCAAUGUCACAUGAAGGAAAAUUAAUCAUAGUUUAGCAGGUGGUGGGAUAGUUUGCAUCUACAAUUUUAAGUGCCAUUUUUAAGGAAGGCCAAAUUCCUGAUUAAGUCAACAGUCUGCAGGAUCGUCGUACUAAUAAUAUA
Long non-coding RNA from Mauremys reevesii (Reeves's turtle), 2190 nucleotides. RefSeq lists it as uncharacterized. Lineage: Eukaryota; Metazoa; Chordata; Testudines; Geoemydidae. The transcript is spliced from 3 exons. The record is from RefSeq and is a predicted model, not a curated record.